AGUGAACGCUGGCGGCAGGCCUAGUACAUGCAAGUCGAACGGCAGCACAGCAGAGCUUGCUCUGUGGGUGGCGAGUGGCGGACGGGUGAGGAAUACAUGGGAAUCUGCCCAGUCGUGGGGGAUAACGUAUGGAAACGUACGCUAAUACCGCAUGCGCCCUAAGGGGGAAAGCCGGGGACCGCAAGGCCUGGCGCGAUUGGAUGAGCCCAUGUUCGAUUAGCUAGUUGGCGGGGUAAAGGCCCACCAAGGCGACGAUCGAUAGCUGGUCUGAGAGGAUGAUCAGCCACACUGGAACUGAGACACGGUCCAGACUCCUACGGGAGGCAGCAGUAGGGAAUAUUGGACAAUGGGGGCAACCCUGAUCCAGCCAUGCCGCGUGAGUGAAGAAGGCCCUCGGGUUGUAAAGCUCUUUUGUCCGGAAAGAAAAGCAAUCGGUUAAUACCCGGUUGUUCUGACGGUACCGGAAGAAUAAGCACCGGCUAACUUCGUGCCAGC
Molecule: ribosomal RNA, 495 nt
Filed under: uncultured bacterium
Lineage: Bacteria
Description: bacterial SSU rRNA
Rfam family: Bacterial small subunit ribosomal RNA
Source: RNAcentral